AUUGAACGCUGGCGGCAGGCCUAACACAUGCAAGUCGAGCGGAUGAAGGGAGCUUGCUCCUGGAUUCAGCGGCGGACGGGUGAGUAAUGCCUAGGAAUCUGCCUGGUAGUGGGGGAUAACGUCCGGAAACGGGCGCUAAUACCGCAUACGUGCUGAGGGAGAAAGUGGGGGAUCUUCGGACCUCACGCUAUCAGAUGAGCCUAGGUCGGAUUAGCUAGUUGGUGGGGUAAAGGCCUACCAAGGCGACGAUCCGUAACUGGUCUGAGAGGAUGAUCAGUCACACUGGAACUGAGACACGGUCCAGACUCCUACGGGAGGCAGCAGUGGGGAAUAUUGGACAACGGGCGAAAGCCUGAUCCAGCCAUGCCGCGUGUGUGAAGAAGGUCUUCGGAUUGUAAAGCACUUUAAGUUGGGAGGAAGGGCAGUAAGUUAAUACCUUGCUGUUUUGACGUUACCAACAGAAUAAGCACCGGCUAACUUCGUG
RNAcentral lists this ribosomal RNA (484 nucleotides) under uncultured bacterium. RNAcentral's name for it is "partial 16S ribosomal RNA". It matches the Rfam family "Bacterial small subunit ribosomal RNA", at positions 30 to 507 of the family's 1533-position model. The record is from RNAcentral.